UCUCCGUUGGUGAACCAGCGGAGGGAUCAUUAAAGAGUUGCAAAACUCCAACCCCUGUGAACCUUACCUGUACGUUGCUUCGGCGGCCGACGCCACGCCCAGCCGGGCCUGGGGGACGCCGCCGGAGGUCACCAAACUCUUGAUAAUUUAUGGCCUCUCUGAGUCUUCUGUACUGAAUAAGUCAAAACUUUCAACAACGGAUCUCUUGGUUCUG
Molecule: unclassified non-coding RNA, 214 nt
Filed under: root metagenome
Description: partial contains small subunit ribosomal RNA, internal transcribed spacer 1, and 5.8S ribosomal RNA
Source: RNAcentral